CGUCACACACUGUACAGGGUGUUGUCAAUGUGCAAAUCAUUACUCACUAUCCUAGCUCAAAACAAUUCUUAUCUUUGAUGGUUCACUAUAAAUAGAUAGACACUCCCGCACCUUAAAAUGUCCGCCAUUGUAGUAUCCUUGGCUACUUCCAUUUCUUCUUUUCUUGUUCCUUCUGCUUCUUCUUUUUCUUCUUCUUCUUUUUCUUUUUAGGGUUUUCUCUGCCGAGCCUCAUCAGAAUUGAGGGGGAAGAACAAAAUAUGUGGAUGGUGAAAAUAGGUUUGGAAUGAAGAUGUGGAAACCGACUCACAAUAGGAAUUUGCUUAUGGAUUUGAAAUCGCGGGAAUCCCAGAUGAGUUUUUUCAUAUUUGUAUGCCGAUUCCGAUUUCAAUCGGCAUUCGAUUCCUAUUCGGUGGCCUGUGAGGCUUUUUCUGAACAGAGACAACGUCACUUUUGUUCACCCUCGUCUCCGAUUAGUGUUACAUUCAAACUGCUUUGAUAGGGAU
This 503-nucleotide unclassified non-coding RNA is filed under the name Hevea brasiliensis (rubber tree). The record is from RNAcentral. Lineage: Eukaryota; Viridiplantae; Streptophyta; Magnoliopsida; Malpighiales; Euphorbiaceae.